GGAGACGUCUUUCAAAGGUAGGAAAAUCGUCUGAUACGCGAUUAAUGAGCGUUCAAUUCGCUCCGUCUCUA
RNAcentral lists this transfer RNA (71 nucleotides) under Caudoviricetes sp. RNAcentral describes it as "tRNA-Ile". It matches the Rfam family "tRNA". Rfam says of the family: Transfer RNA (tRNA) molecules are approximately 80 nucleotides in length. Lineage: Duplodnaviria; Heunggongvirae; Uroviricota; Caudoviricetes. The record is from RNAcentral.